RNAcentral lists this long non-coding RNA (1072 nucleotides) under Canis lupus familiaris (dog). RNAcentral's name for it is "lncRNA (ENSCAFG00845013749.1)". Lineage: Eukaryota; Metazoa; Chordata; Mammalia; Carnivora; Canidae. The record is from RNAcentral.
GGGCACGUUGGAAGUCCGAGCUGAGGAAGCCAGCAAGGGAGAGUACAGAGGUUGGAGACUGCUCUCGUUUCCCUGAGCUCUGGGCCGCCAGGGCCUGUGUUUGAGACGCCUGUGACCCCAGGGCCCAGCGUGCACCUGGCACAGGGCGGCCGUCAGUGGCUGAAGUCAGCUGAGAACCCGCCGAGAGCACCCGGGUCAGUAGGCAAGACCAGCCUCUGUGGCACGAUGUUCCCCUUUGCAGGGCAUGUGUCCUGGGGCAAACCCAUCCUAUGGCAAACUCCCCCGGUUCCCCUGGGCUUGGUGCUCUAGGUCUCCGCCACACGGCCCAGCCAGGUUCGGUAAAACGUGUGGUCUUACUUCUCUGCCCUGACCAAAGAUCUUAGUUUUCAAAAUGCCUUUAUUUUUUUAUUUUUUUUUAAAUAUUUUAUUUAUUUACUCAUGAGAGACACACAGAGGCAGAGACACAGGCAGAGGGAGAAGCAGGCUCCAUGCAGGGAGCCCGAUGGGGAACUCGAUCCCGGGACCCCAAGAUCAUGCCCUGGGCCGUAGGCAGGCGCCAAACCACUGAGCCCCCCGCCCAGGGACCCCCCUCAAAAUGUCUUUAAAGCAGGAUUCUAGAAUGUUAGUGUCAGAAGAGCCCCUAGUGGUCCUGUGCCCACCCACUGUCUACAGCUGGGACGCCGAGGCCCCGGGGGACAGGACGCCCCCAGGUUGUGUGGGCAGGUAAGCGGGGCUGCGAUUCCAGCCAUCGUUUUCUCCACGGGCCCCGUGCUCCGUCCUCCACCCCAGACGGAGGGAAAGCGAAGUCCCUUCCCCGCACUUGCUGCAAAGGGCCAGGAGCUUGGGGUCCGAGGGCUCGUGGGAAGCGGAAAGGAUUGCAAGAAGGGCUGGAGAAGGGGUCUGGUGAACCCCAAGGCGCGGAACGACCGAGAGCAGCUGUGCCACUGAGCUGCGCACCUGACUUCCUAGUCUGGGCCUGGGUUUCCUCCCGGGAGCCCUUGAGUGGUAGAAUGCCCUCCCGGACGGGGAACAGAAGUGACACAAGCCCAGCUCCUUUCCGUGACAUCUCCUG